This is a long non-coding RNA of Balaenoptera ricei (Rice's whale), 890 nucleotides long. RefSeq lists it as uncharacterized. Lineage: Eukaryota; Metazoa; Chordata; Mammalia; Artiodactyla; Balaenopteridae. The record is from RefSeq and is a predicted model, not a curated record. The transcript is spliced from 2 exons.
GGCCCGCGCCGCCCCCUUCUUCGUCCUCCGCCCACGCUCGGCCACUCCUUCCGCCUUCCUCCCGCUCUGGCCUGCUCACUCCCUUCCUUCCCUCCACCUUCUGACUCCACGUUGCUCCCUUCUCCAAAUUCCCGGCCCUCCUACCAGGGGGCCCCUCUGGGUCGCCCUCACCUCUGCACGGCCCUCCCCACUCCCCUCCCCCUUCCCGGCCUCCCCUCCCUCGCCCGCCGCUCCCCGGCUCCCCGCCCCUCGGCUCGCCAUUCUUCUCCUUGAGCCGUGUGCCCCGCCCGGCCCCAGCUCCCUAGUUUCCCGCUCCCUUGCACCCUCGUCCCCAUUCCCGGCUCGGCCCUCGCUCCCCGCGGCCUGACCUGCAAUGGCGGCCAACAAGCACGGCGCCGCGCAGCAAUGGGCGACAACCGAACCUCCCGCCGCCGUCGCCGCUCCCGCCAGCACUUCCCGGGCAGAGCACCCGAGCACGGGCGCACGUGGGGCCGGGGCGGAGAGAGGCGAGCGCCGAGAGUGGCGAGCCGGAGAAGGGGCGUGAAACUACAUUUGGGGCUUCCCUGGUGGCGCAGUGGAUAAGAAUUGCCUGCCAAUGCAGGGGACACAAGUUCCAUCCCUGGUCCGGGAAGAUCCCACAUGCUCGGAGCAACUAAGCCCAUGCGCCACAGCUACUGAGCCUGCGCUCUAGAGCCCGUGAGCCACAACUACUGAAGCCCGUGCACCUAGAGCCCAUGCUCCGCAACAAGAGAAGGCACCGCAAUAAGGAGCCCACGCACCGCAAUGAAGAGUAGCCCCCGCUCGCUGCAAAUAGAGAAAGCCCUCAGGCAGCAACAAAGACCCAACACAGCCAAUAAAUAAAUAAAUAAAUAAACAUUUUUUAAAACCUA